RNAcentral lists this ribosomal RNA (497 nucleotides) under uncultured bacterium. RNAcentral describes it as "partial 16S ribosomal RNA". It matches the Rfam family "Bacterial small subunit ribosomal RNA", at positions 28 to 507 of the family's 1533-position model. The record is from RNAcentral.
GAUGAACGCUGGCGGUGUGCCUAAUACAUGCAAGUCGAGCGAACAGACGAGGAGCUUGCUCCUCUGACGUUAGCGGCGGACGGGUGAGUAACACGUGGAUAACCUACCUAUAAGACUGGGAUAACUUCGGGAAACCGGAGCUAAUACCGGAUAAUAUAUUGAACCGCAUGGUUCAAUAGUGAAAGACGGUUUUGCUGUCACUUAUAGAUGGAUCCGCGCCGCAUUAGCUAGUUGGUAAGGUAACGGCUUACCAAGGCAACGAUGCGUAGCCGACCUGAGAGGGUGAUCGGCCACACUGGAACUGAGACAUGGUCCAGACUCCUACGGGAGGCAGCAGUAGGGAAUCUUCCGCAAUGGGCGAAAGCCUGACGGAGCAACGCCGCGUGAGUGAUGAAGGUCUUCGGAUCGUAAAACUCUGUUAUUAGGGAAGAACAAAUGUGUAAGUAACUAUGCACGUCUUGACGGUACCUAAUCAGAAAGCCACGGCUAACUACGUG